Molecule: non-coding RNA, 384 nt
Organism: Cinara cedri
Lineage: Eukaryota; Metazoa; Arthropoda; Insecta; Hemiptera; Aphididae
Source: the annotation of a GenBank genome assembly
GUGGAUAUACCGUUUAAGGUAUAUAUUUAUUAUACUUAUAAUGUUGAUAAAAUCUAUGUGUAGAAUACUUUCUCUUAAAUCGUGCUGUCAAAAUACACUUUUUUCAUCAUGGUCGUACAAAUGCCUUCGAUUAUUAUUUAUAGAACCUUGAAGAUUGAUAGCGGGGGUUUUGUUUUUUUUUUUUUUUUAAUAACAUCACCGUGGACGCUUUUAGAUCGUAAAUUUUCGCGUGUAGUUGCGAAAAAACUAUCAUGGUCCGGUGAGAGAAAAAAAAUAACGAAAUAAAUAUUUUGUUCGUGCUCUUGAUAUGUUUACGAGAAGUCCGAGAUAUGGAAUACUCGUGUAUAAAUAUUAUAUUAUUUAUGUAAACAAAACGGCGAUCCG